AGGUUCUUAGCUUAAGUUAAAGUGCCUGGGUUGCAGUCAGGUGAUGUGAAUUAGUGUUUGCAGGCCUUC
RNAcentral lists this transfer RNA (69 nucleotides) under Cnemaspis biocellata. RNAcentral's name for it is "tRNA-Ala". The record is from RNAcentral. Lineage: Eukaryota; Metazoa; Chordata; Lepidosauria; Squamata; Gekkonidae.